Molecule: long non-coding RNA, 1553 nt
Filed under: Salvia miltiorrhiza (redroot sage)
Lineage: Eukaryota; Viridiplantae; Streptophyta; Magnoliopsida; Lamiales; Lamiaceae
Description: long non-coding RNA (SMIL_LNC008023)
Source: RNAcentral
GUAUCGAAAUACCCGAUUUUUUAUUUAAUAUAUUUUAAAUUAUUUAGUUAAAUAUAAUUAAAUAAAAAUAUGAAACUAAAAGUGAAAGUGCAAAAGUAACACUUUUAUUUUGCUGUACUGUUAGUCUCUGUUUAAAUUGAAUUGGACUCCGCCGAGCCGCUCCUCUCAAUCCAGAAAUCCGGCGACCCAGCGGCGCCCCUCGCCCGCCCGUCGUCGCCGUUCUCCUCGCCUCGCCAGCCCGCCAUCGCCGUUCUGCUCGCCUCGUCCGCCCGCAGUCGCCCACUCGCUCCCAGCCCCCGCAGUUCCACCGCGACCCUCGCCCAGUCGCCCUAUCGUUCCCGUCGUUCCGCCGCCGCCGAGCUUGUCGCCCUGCAGCAGCCGUGCCGCCUCCGAGCUCCAACAACGUCACACCAGUUCUUCUUCUUCUUCUUCUUCUUCUUUAAUACAAAUUUCCUAUGUCAAUGUUGAAUAAUUGAAUUUGCUGCUUUGAAUAAUUGAAUUUGGUCCUUGAAUUUCACUAUGUCAAUGUUGAAUUUCGGCUGAAUUUGCUGCCCUGCUUUGAAUUGGUUGCCAUGCCCCCUGCAUCAUUUCCUCCUUGUUAUUUGUUGGUUGUCUCUUUGUUGUUUGUUACACGUAGAGGCUCUCUAUGUAUUCGGGUAAUUUAGGGUACCGAAUACCCGAAUCGGGUAUUAGGGUACCCGAUUAAGAAAUCGGGUUCGGGGUCGGGUAUCAGUUUCCGGCCUUAUUCGGGGUUGGAUACCUCGGGUAGGGUACCCGAUCCCGACCCGAUUCCCACCCCUAGAUCUUAUACAUUUCUUCGUUUAUUGUGAAACUCACUUUUCGUCGUUCUAUGUUGGUAAACAUCAGGGAUCUGUCAAUGGCUGACUCUUCCAAGUCCUUGAAACUCCCCAACUCUACUGCUACAGGUAAUUCAACACUCCAGUUAUUCACUACAAAGAAAAACAACAACUAUGCUUAAUUUUCUUUUAAUGAAAGCUGUAAUCUUGUGAUUUUAAGGGCAACAUUUUUAGGGAGUAAAAGAUUUUUGAAAACGAGACGGGUGAUGUUAGGCUUAGGUGCAUGCGUUUGAAAGAAUGCUUCUUGAAAAAUUGGCUGAUGAGUUGCAUAUCUUCUUCCCUAGUUGAAGAGUGGGUAGAUGAUUACUUUUUUAUUUUUAAAUUUUGGGGGGCGUUUAUAUUUGAAUUUCUGAUGUCCUGAUUGCAUAAAAUUUAAAUAAAAUUGAUUUUCAUGUUUAUUGAUUGAUUUGGAAUGGUUAACUCAUUUCAGUUUGGUCUUUUUCUGACAUACGAAGAACUCAAUGCGCCAUUUGGGUGGUAAAGGCUUGUUAAAUUUUGUUGGCUGAAAAGUGGAAAAUAUUGUUUAUGAUAGUUUGAAGUUAACUCUGAUUCAUUGGACUCAUUAUUCUUAUAUAUGUGGUUGUGAUCACAGGGCACAAGAAAAUGAAAGUCAAGAUUAUACGUAUCCUACAUAUGUGUGUGUGUGCAUACAUGCAAUUGGAUAUCUCCAUGGGCGUAUUAGCAUAUUCCAUAAAC